Molecule: microRNA precursor, 109 nt
Filed under: Solanum lycopersicum (tomato)
Lineage: Eukaryota; Viridiplantae; Streptophyta; Magnoliopsida; Solanales; Solanaceae
Description: miR390b stem-loop (sly-MIR390b)
Gene: sly-MIR390b
Rfam family: MIR390 microRNA precursor family
Source: miRBase by way of RNAcentral
GCAUGGAGAAUCUGUAAAGCUCAGGAGGGAUAGCGCCAUGGAUGACUCAAUUCGAUUUUUGUACACAUCUUUAGCGCUAUCCAUCCUGAGUUUCACGGCUUUUUCAUGC